AUUCUACCCAUGUGGGGAAGGAUGAGAAGCUUCGACUAAGGUUCGAUUCGAGCGAAAGCGAGAGAACGUUGCCGCAGGCAACGACCCGAAGGGCGAAACGCGCAGCGCUGAGUCAUCCUUCCCCACCACCA
This 131-nucleotide small RNA is filed under the name Salmonella sp. WGH-01. Its description in RNAcentral is "RtT sRNA". It matches the Rfam family "RtT RNA". Rfam says of the family: This family represents a bacterial cis-regulatory element known as RtT RNA. The exact function of RtT is unknown although it is thought that it may be involved in changing the cellular response in relation to amino acid starvation. Lineage: Bacteria; Pseudomonadati; Pseudomonadota; Gammaproteobacteria; Enterobacterales; Enterobacteriaceae. The record is from RNAcentral.